This is a long non-coding RNA of Lepisosteus oculatus (spotted gar), 1095 nucleotides long. RefSeq lists it as uncharacterized. The record is from RefSeq and is a predicted model, not a curated record. NCBI's taxonomy places the organism in Eukaryota, Metazoa, Chordata, Actinopteri, Semionotiformes, Lepisosteidae.
GAAGACUUGUGGCUGCCCUGCGAUGGACAGGUGCCCCGUCCAGCCACCCGCCCCGCCUUGUGCCCGCUGCCUGCUGGGAUAGGCUCCCGCUGCCCCGUGACCCCGAAUUGGCUACAGCGGUUGGGAAAGGGAAAGGAAUCGUAUCGAUGAAAGCUGGGUUUCAUUUUUUCUCUCCCCGGUGCUGUAAUUUGCAAAGCAAAGAGCUCCAACAGCCCCUUCGCACAGCGUGUGUCCGGUGGGGCGUGCUGUGGACGCAGAGCUGGCGAACUGGACUCGGCUCUGAUCAACUCCGCUCGGGCCCCUUCGAAUGUGGCUUCCCCUGCUGCUGGGAGGGACGAGCCCAGGGCCAGCUCGUCUCCUGAAGGCAGGGGGUGACUGUCUGCUGUCUCAUGGCUGACCAGAGGCAUGGGUCUUCUUCAGCGCUCUUCAGUUCUGCCAGGACUCCGGUCCGCGACUUGUCGCGAAGCGCCGGGAAAGGGAUUGUGGGUUUGCACGGGGGAGCAGGGCGACGAGGCAGAGGGGGCUGCCGGGCCGAAGGAGCGAGAGCAGUCUCCUCCGUGGGGCGCCAGCGUGGGCCUGUGCGUCUCACACCAGGCUGCUGAACCCGGCCAGCUGAGGGUCUCCAGAGAAGCCCGGGGACACAGCAGCAGUGGAAGAGCGAGCCCGAGGCAGCGGAGAUCUCCAGCACGGGCAGAGUCGCUGCACGGCCUGCAGACAUGACAAGGUGGUUCAACAGACCCCCUGGUCCCCAGCACCAUUCCCAGACACGCUGCCAGGAAUGCCGAGACCACUCCAAUAAUCAAGCCGGAUCCCAGAGGAGAAACAGCGCGGAAGCCCAGCCCGAGGACCUCGAUCGCAUCGUCCGUCCGAGAAACCUUUCAUGUUCAGGACAAAGUACCACCAGUACGCUAAAAGUAGGUUCAUUCAUCAGGUUGUUUUUAUUAAAGAGUAGGGUUAAAAACAGACCGGCUGGAUGAAACACGUAGAGCUCCCGAGUCCCACAUUCUUUCUGUAUGGGAAUGACACUGGCAGGGGGAGGAGGUAGGAGGGGAAAAAAAAUAAAAUAAGGAAAGUGUCUCCCCCAGUUCAACUAGU